UGUAGAUUUGUUGUUUGAUUUUUUAAUUAGAUGUGCAUUCUAAAUGUAUGAGGUCUUCCUCAAGCUGCUCUGGAUAACUGUUAUUUUUACGUAUUAUAUAGUAGUUAUGCAAACACUGAAUCGUAUUACGGGACUCGCACCACGAAAGCUCUAUAAUAGAAUUUGAUACAAGUCAAGCUAUUUGAAGAUUCUCAUGAAGAAUCCACCUCAUGAACACCUAUAUUGCAAUUGAGAAAUAAGCUUACUAGCCAGUGAUACUGCAAUCAUGAACAACAGAUAUGUAAACAGAAUAUUUCAAAUCUAAGCAGUAACUGAAUCCCUUCGCCUACGUAUGAAUGAAAUAUAGCUACACCAUAGAAACAUAUAGACUCUUAGUACAAAUACUGAUCUCAAAAUAGAAAUAAUGGAUAAAAUCAUUCAAAAAGUGGAGAUUGGCAGUUUUAUAUCCUGUGCAUUUCAAACGAUUCUAGAGAAGAGUUUAUUUCUUAGAGUUGCACGGUGGUUCGUUUGUUUCAUUUGUCAACAUAAACUCCUUUGAUGUCAUGGAAUGUCAUCAGAAAUUGAACCUUACGUUAAAAAGUGAAAAAUCAAUUUUAAUAGUGAUAUUAUUGAUGAUAUUGUUAAUGAACGACCAAUUAUUAGUUUAGUUUCUAGUACAAGACCAGUGAGCAAUACAUAUUUGGGAGCAUGCAUAGCUUCCACUUUAGAAAAAAUGCUAUGAUGAGUUAAUUUUUAAUAAAAUAUAUAGAUCUCAUUUAAUACAUUCUAUGAAAGGAGAUUCAUCAAAUGAAGAUGAAAAUUUUAUAUGUCAAAUAGAUUAUAUAAUAAAUAAGUUGUAAACAAGGUAUAUGAUAGAACUAUCUGAAAUUCAUUUGUAGACAGGAAGAAGAUAUUGAGAUAUGUGAAAGGUACCAUAAAUUUUGUUAGUCA
Long non-coding RNA from Cryptomeria japonica (Japanese cedar), 930 nucleotides. RefSeq lists it as uncharacterized. The transcript is spliced from 2 exons. NCBI's taxonomy places the organism in Eukaryota, Viridiplantae, Streptophyta, Pinopsida, Cupressales, Cupressaceae. The record is from RefSeq and is a predicted model, not a curated record.